This 429-nucleotide ribosomal RNA is filed under the name Chloroflexota bacterium. RNAcentral's name for it is "Chloroflexi bacterium partial 16S ribosomal RNA". It matches the Rfam family "Bacterial small subunit ribosomal RNA", at positions 355 to 776 of the family's 1533-position model. The record is from RNAcentral. Lineage: Bacteria; Bacillati; Chloroflexota.
UGGGGAAUAUUGCACAAUGGGCGCAAGCCUGAUGCAGCCAUGCCGCGUGUAUGAAGAAGGCCUUCGGGUUGUAAAGUACUUUCAGUCGGGAGGAAGGUGGUAAGGUUAAUAACCUUAUCAAUUGACGUUACCGACAGAAGAAGCACCGGCUAACUCCGUGCCAGCAGCCGCGGUAAUACGUGGGGGGCAAGCGUUAAUCGGAAUUACUGGGCGUAAAGCGCACGCAGGCGGUUGAUUGAGUCAGAUGUGAAAUCCCCGGGCUUAACCCGGGAAUUGCAUCUGAUACUGGUCAGGUAGAGUCUUGUAGAGGGGGGUAGAAUUCCAUGUGUAGCGGUGAAAUGCGUAGAGAUGUGGAGGAAUACCGGUGGCGAAAGCGGCCCCCUGGACAAAGACUGACGCUCAGGUGCGAAAGCGUGGGGAGCAAAAAGG